UGUGAACUCGAAGAGUAGGGCGGGACACGUGGUAUCCUGUCUGAAUAUGGGGGGACCAUCCUCCAAGGCUAAAUACUCCUGACUGACCGAUAGUGAACCAGUACCGUGAGGGAAAGGCGAAAAGAACCCCGGCGAGGGGAGUGAAAAAGAACCUGAAACCGUGUACGUACAAGCAGUGGGAGCACCUUCGGGUGUGACUGCGUACCUUUUGUAUAAUGGGUCAGCGACUUAUAUUCUGUAGCAAGGUUAACCGUAUAGGGGAGCCGCAGGGAAACCGAGUCUUAACUGGGCGUUAAGUUGCAGGGUAUAGACCCGAAACCCGGUGAUCUAGCCAUGGGCAGGUUGAAGGUUGGGUAACACUAACUGGAGGACCGAACCGACUAAUGUUGAAAAAUUAGCGGAUGACUUGUGGCUGGGGGUGAAAGGCCAAUCAAACCGGGAGAUAGCUGGUUCUCCCCGAAAGCUAUUUAGGUAGCGCCUCGUGAACUCAUCUUCGGGGGUAGAGCACUGUUUCGGCUAGGGGGUCAUCCCGACUUACCAACCCGAUGCAAACUACGAAUACCGAAGAAUGUUAUCACGGGAGACACACGGCGGGUGCUAACGUCCGUCGUGAAGAGGGAAACAACCCAGACCGCCAGCUAAGGUCCCAAAGUCAUGGUUAAGUGGGAAACGAUGUGGGAAGGCACAGACAGCCAGGAUGUUGGCUUAGAAGCAGCCAUCAUUUAAAGAAAGCGUAAUAGCUCACUGGUCGAGUCGGCCUGCGCGGAAGAUGUAACGGGGCUAAACCAUGCACCGAAGCUGCGGCAGCGACACUAUGUGUUGUUGGGUAGGGGAGCGUUCUGUAAGCCUGCGAAGGUGUGCUGUGAGGCAUGCUGGAGGUAUCAGAAGUGCGAAUGCUGACAUAAGUAACGAUAAAGCGGGUGAAAAGCCCGCUCGCCGGAAGACCAAGGGUUCCUGUCCAACGUUAAUCGGGGCAGGGUGAGUCGACCCCUAAGGCGAGGCCGAAAGGCGUAGUCGAUGGGAAACAGGUUAAUAUUCCUGUACUUGGUGUUACUGCGAAGGGGGGACGGAGAAGGCUAUGUUAGCCGGGCGACGGUUGUCCCGGUUUAAGCAUGUAGGCUGGUUGUCCAGGCAAAUCCGGAUAAUCAAGGCUGAGGUGUGAUGACGAGGCACUACGGUGCUGAAGUAACAAAUGCCCUGCUUCCAGGAAAAGCCUCUAAGCAUCAGGUAACAUCAAAUCGUACCCCAAACCGACACAGGUGGUCAGGUAGAGAAUACCAAGGCGCUUGAGAGAACUCGGGUGAAGGAACUAGGCAAAAUGGUGCCGUAACUUCGGGAGAAGGCACGCUGGUGUGUAGGUGAAGUCCCUGCGGGUGGAGCUGAGACCAGUCGAAGAUACCAGCUGGCUGCAACUGUUUAUUAAAAACACAGCACUGUGCAAACACGAAAGUGGACGUAUACGGUGUGACGCCUGCCCGGUGCCGGAAGGUUAAUUGAUGGGGUUAUCCGUAAGGAGAAGCUCUUGAUCGAAGCCCCGGUAAACGGCGGCCGUAACUAUAACGGUCCUAAGGUAGCGAAAUUCCUUGUCGGGUAAGUUCCGACCUGCACGAAUGGCGUAAUGAUGGCCAGGCUGUCUCCACCCGAGACUCAGUGAAAUUGAACUCGCUGUGAAGAUGCAGUGUACCCGCGGCAAGACGGAAAGACCCCGUGAACCUUUACUAUAGCUUGACACUGAACAUUGAGCCUUGAUGUGUAGGAUAGGUGGGAGGCUUUGAAGCGUGGACGCCAGUCUGCGUGGAGCCAACCUUGAAAUACCACCCUUUAAUGUUUGAUGUUCUAACGUUGGCCCCU
Molecule: ribosomal RNA, 1851 nt
Filed under: Klebsiella pneumoniae
Lineage: Bacteria; Pseudomonadati; Pseudomonadota; Gammaproteobacteria; Enterobacterales; Enterobacteriaceae
Description: partial 23S ribosomal RNA
Rfam family: Bacterial large subunit ribosomal RNA
Source: RNAcentral